This 254-nucleotide ribosomal RNA is filed under the name uncultured bacterium. RNAcentral describes it as "partial small subunit ribosomal RNA". It matches the Rfam family "Bacterial small subunit ribosomal RNA", at positions 26 to 284 of the family's 1533-position model. The record is from RNAcentral.
AGGACGAACGCUGGCGGCGUGCUUAACACAUGCAAGUCGAGCGGAAAGGCCCUUCGGGGUACUCGAGCGGCGAACGGGUGAGUAACACGUGGGUAACCUGCCCCUUGCUCUGGGAUAACUCCGGGAAACCGGGGCUAAUACCGGGUAUGACACUCGCAGGCAUCUGCUGGGUGUGGAAAGUUUUUCGGCGAGGGAUGGGCCCGCGGCCUAUCAGCUUGUUGGUGGGGUGAUGGCCUACCAAGGCAGUGACGGGU